AAACGUAACCAAUAAGAGAUAUGUGAGGAGAUUUAUUAUGAUAAACUGCUCACAGAUUAUGGACCCUGAGAAGACCCACAGUCUACCACCUGCAAGUUGGAGACUCAGGAAAGCCAGCGGUGUCAUUCCACUCUGAGUUUGAAAGCCUGAGAAUCAGGGCAGCUGAUGGUAUAAAUCCUAGUCUGAAGACAAGGGAAGACCAAUAUCCAGCUCAGGGAGCAGACAGAAAGCAAAAGGGAUCUGAGUUAGGACAAUGGGAAGCUAUACCAAAUAAAGAAAGCCUGCCUUGCUUCCAAAGGUUAAUGAAUGAUGGUGAGGUUUAUUAUUCAGGAAGAUGAAAAAAAAAAAAAAAUUCAAAGCAGUUUAAACCAAAUGCAUGUCCGUCCAUAAGGAGCCAUCAUCUCCUGGUGCCUAAGCUACCGCAAGGUCAUCAGAAACUUCUGGCAGCUACUUUAAUUCUUUCAGUGAGUUCCUGCCUUGAACAGGAAAUGGCCGGGACUGGAAGAACAUGGUUCACCUAAUGAGCACACGUUAUCAUCUUGUCCUGUGAUGGAAGAUGACAAGAGGUCUGCAUCACUGUAGGCAAACAGACCAUUCACAUCAGAAUGGACACCUGGCCAGCUGCUUGUCAGGAGGAACUUCAGUCAAAAUGCUGACACUUAAAAGAGACACUUAUUACUACCGGGAGAAAAAGACAUGAUGGAAGUAGUUUCCUACUGUGUGAAAAUGUAUACAAGAUGGAUAUACUUAACACGACGAAAAACAAGACCUUCUACAUUCUGAAUUUCUCUUCCAGCUCUAAAACUAGGGGAUCUAUAUCCAGUUUUGGAUACUUUAGAUCUAUGCUGUCCAAUACAGCAGCCACUAGUAAUAUGGCUAGUCUGAAUUGAGAUGUGCUAUAAGUGUAAAAUGUGCAUCUUAUUGUAAAAGCUUAUUAAAAAUAAACAAAGUAGGAACUCCCUCUGGGGUGCAACGGGAUUGGCAGCGUCUUGGGAGCACUGGGACGUGGGUUGGAUCCCUGGUCGGCACAGUGGAUUAAGGAUCCCGUGUCGCCAGUUUAGUUCGUGGCUGCGGCUUGGAUCUGAUCCCUGGCCCAGGGACCUCCAUAUGCCUUGGGUGGCCGAAAACAAACAAGCAAUGUAGGAGUUUCCAUUAUGGCUUAGCAGGUUAAGAACCCAGCAUAAUGUCCAUGAGGAUGCAGGUUCAGUCCCUGGCUUAGCUCAUUGGGUUAAGCCACAGGCUGCGGCUUGGACCCCUGGUUGCUGUGGCUAUGGUGUCGACCAGCAGCUGCAGCUCUGAUUCAACUCCUAGCCCUGGGAACUUCCAUACGCACAGGUGAGGCUCUUAAAAAAAAAAAAAAUGUAAAAGAUUUUAUCAAUAUUUUAAAUAAUAAUCCCAUGUUGAAAUCAGAAUAUUUUUGCUAUUUUGGGUUAAACAAAGUGUGUUUAAAAAUUAUUUAUUUUUCAAUUUUUAAAUGUGGCUAUUAGAAAAAUUUUAAAUACAUUUAUAGUUUGCAUUAUAAUUCUAUCAGAUGGCACUGUUUCAUGUAUAACUGUAUUUAUUGUAUUCAGAGAUAACAACCUGGAGCUGGCCCUUUUGGGUUUAGAUAAAAUGUCCACUAACGCUACCUCCAACAGGGUUAUUCUCAUAAGCAAAUGUCACUGUGCUCAGUGUUCUAUGAGACAAAAACAUAGUAACUUGCACCACAGAUAAGGCCAAUGUUUUAUCGUUGCACUAAAUUCAAAAGAAGGCUCACCAUGAAGAAGCUUGCUUAUAAACAGUUUUACAGCUCACUAACAGCAGACCUUUUCUUACUCUGGCUUUAGCUAUCUGAGCUAGCAUAAACAGCUAAA
RNAcentral lists this long non-coding RNA (1853 nucleotides) under Sus scrofa (pig). RNAcentral describes it as "lncRNA (ENSSSCG00035049091.1)". Lineage: Eukaryota; Metazoa; Chordata; Mammalia; Artiodactyla; Suidae. The record is from RNAcentral.